This 4758-nucleotide ribosomal RNA is filed under the name Triticum aestivum (bread wheat). Its description in RNAcentral is "partial small subunit ribosomal RNA". Lineage: Eukaryota; Viridiplantae; Streptophyta; Magnoliopsida; Poales; Poaceae. The record is from RNAcentral.
UAAAACAUUACCUCUUCUUGUAUGUACAAAAGACUUCUAAAUACACCGAAAGAUUUUAGAUAGGAAAAUAAUACAUAAUAAAGAGGAAACACGGUACGAUUAGUCUUCUAAUGAAUAUACAACUCGAAAAUGAAGUAUUAGAAGUACCCUUCAAGUCACGAAGUAUUUAUAAAAAAUAACGGUAAAAAACUUAAAGUCAAGUGCAGUACCAAUAGAACUGAAAGUCCUAACAACCAACGUCGUAGUCUCUUUCCAUCCAGUGUUCGACAUCCACGUACCGUUGAAGUUACCAAUCUCUGGGGUCUAGACCCUCUCCGUCACGACUAACUCCCCCCGUCGACCUUCUGCAGUACGAAUUCGAAACCAUACUCUAUAUACACUAAAACAGUUCGGCCAGAAGGUUUUGACUUUCCUCAAAAGACAGAUACUUCGUCCGCAGAACCCUACUAAUAGCCUAAGGUAAGUUAAUGAAAAUCUACUACGGGUAGUAGAAAAACACGUCAAGUACAACCGUUGGAACGAUCUCCUAUGACAGGCACGUUACUAUAUUCGAACGAUUUCCUUUGGGUACACUCCAACCUCGUACCUCACGUAUCGGAACGAGCGCAGACGAAUCCGGGAUAUUCGGCCAAGGCACCCAUAAUCUACGGGACUCUCACCUACGUCCUGUGAACUAAGCAGACAGACCACACACGGUUGAAGUUUCACAUCUCUGGGGUUCGUCUACUCCGUACCGAAUAACUCUCCCCCGUCGACCUUCUCAACCGCUGGGUUGCUGGACCUUGUAGUUGUGAAGUUUGAAAAGUAUCCUCCAUAUACACUAAAACAGUUCGGUAAGAGGGUUUUACAGAUACUUCGUCCGCUGAACACUACUAGACACCUACGGCAAGUUAACGAAAUUUUGGUGCGGGUAAUAGAAAAACACGUCAAGUACAAUCGUGGGAACGAUAACACGAACGUAUAACUCCUAUGACGGACACACUACUAUAUCCGAACGAUUUCCUUUGGGUACAGUCUGAAGUAUUAGAUCUCUGAGCAUGUAAGGACAGAUCGGAAUCUGUAUACAAGGUGACAGUGUUUUUUACCGCGACUGUAAAGAUUUUGUUUGACACUCGACGUAAUCGAAGUCAGCGUGAGUAGUGACUUAAGUAGCCUCGGGGGUGAAGGAAGGUACUAAAACGCCAGACAACUUAACCACUAAUCAAGUGAACCUGAUUAGUACUAUCAUGUCUUGAUUUAUAGACAUCUUUUGUACGGGUCAUAGAGUUUCUUGAAGGAGGUUACAAUACCUCCAUUUGGAACUAUCGGCACGUCCAUUUAUUUGACUCCACCGCACACCUAAAAAGGGGUAGUGUGAGAUUAAGCAACCAUACUGGACAGUCGAUAGGAUACAUCUUAUACGUACAAGAAAGUCGUAACGAUUUGGACGUAGCUUGAUUUAACCGAUGUUAUACAGGGUGAGGUACUACGACGAACACUAGAACUACACUUGCUCGAUGUGAUACAGGGUGAGGUACUACGACGAACGCUAGAACUACACUUGCUCGAUGUCAUACAGGGUGAUAUCAUCAUACAAUGAUCUAGAUAGUCCCUACAAUACAUUGAGUUCUUCCACAACGAAUAGGAAACGUUCAAGAAUUUAAUAAAGCGCCGCGACCGAAAACAAACGAGGAAGACGAGUAGUAGAUAUAACAAACAACACAGUCCAAACUCGUACGUCACAUGUCGGAACGAGCACACACUCUACUGAGAUAUUCGGCCAUGGCGACCAUAGUCAAGGGGACUCUCCCCUAUGUACUGACCUAAGCAUUCAGCAAGAGAUCGUGCUCUGUCUGUCUCUCUGUACGGUAUAGUUAGUAAACCUGUGUGUAUUACGAUGUAUACAACAAUCUUGAAUCGGGGACAUACCUUCCGCGGAUAGAUCUUGUUAUAACGAGAGUACGAGGCAAGACGUAAAUCCCGAGUUUAGACGUUGUGAGACUAGUAGUAUAACCGGGACCUGGAAAAGAAAAUCAUUCAUAAUGACAUAAUCUCAUUGGUCUUAUAAAUCUCGCGAAACUUCCUUUGUUUACCGUAGUUCCGUAAAUCCUACUAAGAUCGGACCGGUUGUAGAUUUAUAUCCAGGAUCUAUGAUCUAACAAUAUAUACAUCGUCUACUUAAAACUCAUCCUAUCCUAUAAGACUCAACUGACUAUGAGAAACUGCAUAAAUCUAAACUUUCUGUAAGAAACAGCAACAUUCAUUUUUUCUAUAGUGUAACCUGAAUUUUACAUGAGGGAGGCAAACAAAAAUAUUCUGCAAGUCUGUUGAACGAAACACGACAAAAACUUGUCACAGACUUUCAGAUUUUGCAGAAUAUUUUUGUUUGUCUCCAUCAUAUGCCAUUGUAUUAAAACAACCAGUCCAUCCCAAUUUUUACAACUUGUCUAAUGGUGGAGGUUAAUACGGUAUGUCGUAUCUCCAUUCGUCGACAACCUCCAGUAACCGGACAUGUCAUACACCUACCCGUGUACCGUAGAUUAUCAUCAACGUGACAGGAUAUCAACUUGAUCAUUUGUAAACUAGAAUCGACCGUAUACCCACUCAUGAUCAUGUUACGUACGUACGAUCCGAGACUGGCAGAACUAGUACCUACUAGAGAUAUGUUCUUAUUUCCCAUUGCGCCACGUACACCAUUGUUGACAAUUGUGAAUGUUUAUAAGUCGUUCACCUACUUUUGGUUUGGCUGGCCCGAUCUUCAGUUGACGAUUGAGGUAUUUAUGGUGAUCACGCCGUUACCGGUUGUAUGAGGUCGUCCACACUCUUCGUCUUAAUCGCCGUCCGUUGUUUUCGAGAGUAGUUGAGGUCAUCUUCUUUCGGCACGACCUUUAUACUGCUACCUCCGGUGAGGAGAGGACUGAGGUAUGUUCUACCCGUUUAAGUUGGAGCGCGUGUCCCAACAAGAACGAGGACACUGCGCCACGUCCAGCAUACCCUUGUACCGGGUCGGCGUGUUACGCGACAUGAUGCGCGUCUCCCGCCGCGGCCCGCAGCAGGAGUAGCGUCUCCGGUCGCGCCACAGCUUCUACCGUGGUUCCAUGGGCGGGCACGGGCCGGACACCUCGGUCCUCGUCCACCUCCGGACCUUCCGACAUCAGCUACGGCACGUGCGGUUCCCGCGGGAGAAGAAGACGGUCUAAACCGUAUGUCCGUCGCAGAGCGGGUGACCCAACCUGCGGGGAGUCCCAACCUUCGUGUCCUCUAUGGGGCUUACCACUUACUGAAGGCGUGACGACGUUCUUUACGGUAGUUUCGGCCAAAGCUGCCACACCUCUAAGUACGGUGGUUACCCAACGACUAGUUGGUCAAGACCACCAAGUAUCUAUUGCUUUCCAGGUUGAGAGUCGGAGAUGUUGCGGCACUGGUCGAGUAGUUCCGGUAGCGGCCAAACGGUGGCUCUGGUAGUGGCGGCAACGACUGCUCCACCCACGCGUGGCGGUACCGCACGCGGAGAGGGGUCAUCGGCUGAUGCUGAGCCUGGGCCUCCGCGAGGGUGACGUGCACCAGGCGGAGUACUUGCUCGAGCCGCAGGAGAUGACGGUGUACCACCUCGGCUCCUUGCCCUGGGACACGUCGGAAGACGGAAAGUCCUUCCGCAAGUUUCCAUGUAAGUAGCACUUGCCCCCAAUGCUGUCCCUCCCUCCUCUACACCGACAGCCGCUACCGAUACGGCUAGACCAGAGCAUGCCCGCCGAGAAGGACCGCUUGGGGCUGGACGGCCUCGCCAAGUCCUUCUCCCGCCCGGACUUGCUCAUACUGGCCUCGUGCAAGAUGUGGAGGCUAGGCCACCAGCCGAUGUGCCUGAUGGGAAAGGAACGAGUCCCCGUCCCCUGUGCUCAAUCGAUUAACUGGAGGCUAGGGCGGCCGGUGUGAACAAGUUCCCACAGUCAACAAGAACUAAGUCUAGUAGUCCGCUCAGCUCUAGUUGAUCGAACUGCCACACGUCUAACGCGCUGAUCUAAACAGCAUCGGCAGAAAACAAUAAACUCACGGUUACCAACGAGCCGCUCAAUGAACAAAGAGUCCAAUAACAAAAGUCACGACCGAUUUGCAUUAGGACACUUUUUUUGUGAGGUUCAACAGAUCUGAACUAUGAAGACACGUUGAGAGACCAAAUUGAGUUAUCUCAAGGUCAUCAUGCUUCACGACUACUAGAGAAAAGUCUCGUUCCGAUGAAUAGUCGACUCAUGUUCAUCACCUCUAACCAAGCGAACGAACACAAUAAGUUCUAAGUUGUUGUUAAGCCAACUUAAUUGGCAGCCGAAGCUUUCAAGCUGGGUUGACUAACAAACUUUCAUUAUACGAAGUUUUAGCGGUAAGCUGUGUUUAUACCAUUCACGGAUUAGUUCAUAGUAGCACAAAGUACGAACUUUACGUCCUGUUGAGAAAAAGCCAUUUUCGUCCUACUAACUAAGUUUAUAAGGAUGGUGUAGUUUCGGUGUAUUUUGUGUCAGAUGGCUUACGCUGCUCUCGUCCGGCAUGGCUAUGUUCACCCGCGUACACUCCUCGAAACCGCUGGUGGGGGACGAAUACUCGAGGCGCACGAGAUACCGCCAAGUAUACGGUCGAAGAUCACCCGUAGCGCGACCCCACCUGUACUUGAUGUAGAUGAUGGGGCUCGUUAUAAGCAGCAGGAAGCUUCCACUAGGUACAUGAGGACCCGUUGUUCAUGUACGUAGUGUACCCUACCUAAUACAGUACCCACAUGGCAAUGACACU